GCCAGACUCCUACGGGAGGCAGCAGUGGGGAAUAUUGCACAAUGGAGGAAACCCUGAUGCAGCAACGCCGCGUGAGUGAAGAAGUAUUUCGAUAUGUAAAGCUCUAUCAGCAGGGAAGAAGAUGACGGUACCUGAGUAAGAAGCCCCGGCUAACUACGUGCCAGCAGCCGCGGUAAUACGUAGGGGGCAAGCGUUAUCCGGAUUUACUGGGUGUAAAGGGAGCGUAGACGGCAGGGCAAGUCUGGAGUGAAAGCCCGGGGCCCAACCCCGGGACUGCUUUGGAAACUGCCAUGCUAGAGUGCUGGAGAGGUAAGCGGAAUUCCUAGUGUAGCGGUGAAAUGCGUAGAUAUUAGGAGGAACACCAGUGGCGAAGGCGGCUUACUGGACUGUAACUGACGUUGAGGCUCGAAAGCGUGGGGAGCAAACAGGAUUAGAUACCCGCGUA
Molecule: ribosomal RNA, 445 nt
Filed under: uncultured bacterium
Lineage: Bacteria
Description: bacterial SSU rRNA
Rfam family: Bacterial small subunit ribosomal RNA
Source: RNAcentral